CGACGAUCUAGCCAUUAUAUCAACAAAUACUAAUAAAAUUACAGCAGCACACAAUUUGCAAAACAAAAUUGAAGAAUUACAGAUUUCAACAUACUAGUCAACGGCACAAACAUUGAGCAAGUUCUACAUUUUAAAUGGUUAGGAAGGACAAUCAGCGCCAACUCCACAAUCAAGGCUCACGUCAGCAAUGUUAAAAAAGCAAUAACUUCUGCAUUUGUCCGGUCAAAGGCAGAAUACGCCAGCACCAGCUAUGCCAAUGCGCCGAAAGUAUACAAUAAACAACUGCAAACCA
Molecule: long non-coding RNA, 292 nt
Organism: Rhagoletis zephyria (snowberry fruit fly)
Lineage: Eukaryota; Metazoa; Arthropoda; Insecta; Diptera; Tephritidae
Source: RefSeq, a predicted model, not a curated record